Long non-coding RNA from Neogale vison (American mink), 362 nucleotides. RefSeq lists it as uncharacterized. The transcript is spliced from 4 exons. The record is from RefSeq and is a predicted model, not a curated record. NCBI's taxonomy places the organism in Eukaryota, Metazoa, Chordata, Mammalia, Carnivora, Mustelidae.
CUCCAUGCUACCCUGCAAGGCAUAGACUAGGAUAAUGUUCCUAUAAUGUUAUGAAGAAGAAACUGAUUUGAAAGACUAAGAAGACACCCUCGCUCUAAGAAAGGAAGACCUAAGAAAAAUGAAAGGUUCGCCAUACAGAAUAAACACGAACCUGUUAAGCAAGCAGAAUUUUGGAAGAAGUACAUACACAGUUUAAAGAAGAGCUGGAAACUCUGCUGUAAUGAGGGUUAGGGAAAUGUCUUGACCAUUAUUUGAGUGACCCUGUCUAACUAGAUCUGGAUGGAAACCAUUGGUAAAAUAAGCACACAGACUUCAUGAGGCUUUGCAACAUGAAAUGGGAAUGAGACAGUGUGGAACCCCGG